AGCUCCAAUAGCGUAUAUUAAAGUUGCUGCAGUUAAAAAGCUCGUAGUUGGAUCUCGGGGUACCUGGUCUAGCCGGUAUAGCUCACGCUAAAACUGGUCUGACCCCCCAACGUGAGGUAUUCGUCUCCGGGUGCACUUCAUUGGGUGCUCGUGAGGGGCCUCGUAGUUACUGUGAAAAAAAUAGAGUGUUCAAAGCAGGCUCAUAUGUUUGGAUAGUCGUGCAUGGAAUAACUGAAUACGUGACUGGCGCUUUUCAGUUGGUCUCAGCGCCUGGUCAACUGAUUAAGAGGGACUUCCGGGGGCAUUGGUAUGGCGGGGUUAUAGGUGAAAUUCUUGUAUCCUCGCCAGACCAACAAAAACGAAAGCAUUUGCCAAGAAUGUCUUCA
Molecule: ribosomal RNA, 386 nt
Filed under: marine Metazoa environmental sample
Lineage: Eukaryota; Metazoa
Description: partial small subunit ribosomal RNA
Rfam family: Eukaryotic small subunit ribosomal RNA
Source: RNAcentral